GACGAACGCUGGCGGCGCGCUUAACACAUGCAAGUCGAACGGAAAGGCCUGCUUUCCCUUGUGGAUUGCGGGUACUCGAGUGGCGAACGGGUGAGUAACACGUGAGUGAUCUGCCCCCAACUUGGGUAUAAGCCUGGGAAACUGGGUUUAAUUCCCGAUAGGACUGCAGGGUGGUGCCUGUGGUGGAAAACGAUUUUCUAGUGGUUGGGGAUGAGCUCGCGGCCUAUCAGCUUGUUGGUGGGGUAAUGGCCUACCAAGGCGGCGACGGGUAGCCGGCCUGAGAGGGUGGACGGCCACAUUGGGACUGAGAUACGGCCCAGACUCCUACGGGAGGCAGCAGUGGGGAAUAUUGCACAAUGGGCGGAAGCCUGAUGCAGCGACGCCGCGUGGGGGAUGACGGCCUUCGGGUUGUAAACUCCUUUCGACCGCGAGGAAGCCACCUGGUUGGAAGGGUGGUGACGGUAGUGGUAGAAGAAGCACCGGCUAACUACGUG
Molecule: ribosomal RNA, 494 nt
Filed under: uncultured bacterium
Lineage: Bacteria
Description: partial 16S ribosomal RNA
Rfam family: Bacterial small subunit ribosomal RNA
Source: RNAcentral